This is a non-coding RNA of Clostridium sp. CAG:433, 76 nucleotides long. Lineage: Bacteria; Bacillati; Bacillota; Clostridia; Eubacteriales; Clostridiaceae. The record is from Rfam.
UUGGCUCUACAACCGCACUAAUAAGGUUUAAGUAAGCUUAGAGUAAGCACCUUAAAGGGCGAGUCUUAGAAUAUUA